GCCUCCUGUCCCGGCACUGCUGUAGAGCUCAUGUUUGAGCACUGUCUGAUGCUGGGCACCCUAUUUGUGCCUAAUGGUCCUGGCCCCGUCCUUGCCACCCUGGCAAAUUUCCUGUUCUCCUGGUGUUUCCAGGUGCUGGGCCCCCAGAGAACGCAUGCAAAAGUCCAGGAAAGCUAGGGACGUGGGACUGCUCUACCACCCACAGUACUGUUAGCUGAGCAGACCUUCA
Molecule: long non-coding RNA, 229 nt
Organism: Ochotona curzoniae (black-lipped pika)
Lineage: Eukaryota; Metazoa; Chordata; Mammalia; Lagomorpha; Ochotonidae
Exons: 3
Source: RefSeq, a predicted model, not a curated record